ACACUCCUACGGGAGGCAGCAGUGGGGAAUAUUGGACAAUGGGCGCAAGCCUGAUCCAGCCAUGCCGCGUGAGUGAUGAAGGCCCUAGGGUUGUAAAGCUCUUUCACCGGUGAAGAUAAUGACGGUAACCGGAGAAGAAGCCCCGGCUAACUUCGUGCCAGCAGCCGCGGUAAUACGAAGGGGGCUAGCGUUGUUCGGAUUUACUGGGCGUAAAGCGCACGUAGGCGGACUAUUAAGUCAGGGGUGAAAUCCCGGGGCUCAACCCCGGAACUGCCUUUGAUACUGGUAGUCUUGAGUUCGAGAGAGGUGAGUGGAAUUCCGAGUGUAGAGGUGAAAUUCGUAGAUAUUCGGAGGAACACCAGUGGCGAAGGCGGCUCACUGGCUCGAUACUGACGCUGAGGUGCGAAAGCGUGGGGAGCAAACAGGAUUAGAUACCCGAGUAGUCC
This 446-nucleotide ribosomal RNA is filed under the name uncultured organism. RNAcentral's name for it is "partial 16S ribosomal RNA". It matches the Rfam family "Bacterial small subunit ribosomal RNA", at positions 333 to 796 of the family's 1533-position model. The record is from RNAcentral.